This 265-nucleotide ribosomal RNA is filed under the name uncultured archaeon. Its description in RNAcentral is "partial 16S ribosomal RNA". It matches the Rfam family "Archaeal small subunit ribosomal RNA", at positions 717 to 982 of the family's 1478-position model. The record is from RNAcentral.
ACACGACUACAUUAGAUACCCCCGUAGUCCUAGCCGUAAACGAUACUCGCUAGGUGUCGGCCACGGUGCGACCGUUGUCGGUGCCGUAGGGAAGCCGUGAAGCGAGCCACCAGGGAAGUACGGCCGCAAGGCUGAAACUUAAAGGAAUUGGCGGGGGAGCACAACAACGGGUGGAGCUUGCGGUUUAAUUGGAUUCAACGCCGGAAAUCUUACCGGGACCGACAGCAACAUGAAGGCCAAGCUGAAGACUUUGCCGGAUUAGCUG